Molecule: long non-coding RNA, 852 nt
Organism: Triticum aestivum (bread wheat)
Lineage: Eukaryota; Viridiplantae; Streptophyta; Magnoliopsida; Poales; Poaceae
Exons: 2
Source: RefSeq, a predicted model, not a curated record
UCCAAACCCUGAUUCCCGUCUUGCCGCCGUCUUCUACUAUUUCAGUCUGGCGUGGACUCCUGCGACCGGCGAACUGGUCACUGGGGCUUGCCGGCGAGUGGGCUGGCGAGCGGCCGGCAAGAGCUGAGAGGCCAGAGGCUGUUCAUGGCUCCUGGGCUCGUCUCGUCGCGACCGGGCAGGCGACGCCGGCGCCGCCGCGCGCAGAGAUCCGAUCAUAAUUGAUUCCCAUGAGCCAACAGAAGCUCUUGCCCAAUAAUGUGUAAGCCCAUGGACAGGGACGUUCAUGUCUUUUCAGAAAGUGCCGAUCAGCUAUGGUAAAUACAUGAGAAACUAAUACCAUUUUUAGUAUUACUAUAACCUAUAACAGAAAUAGAACAAGCCGCCCAAUCUAUAUUACUGUCCUGUGGACCAGGACGAAUAAUUCUGGCUGGCCAUGAUUAUCCGUUUUAUGGCGCCCAAUUCUUUCACCACAUCGCCCAUAUUUAUGCGUUGUCUUGCAGAGCCCCUGCAGCAAGCUAGACCAAGUCUUGAAACUGGAGCAGCGAACAAUUCUAAAGUCGCUUGAGGCUCUUGGUUGCAUCUUAUAUUGACGUCCAUUAUUUCCAGCAGAUUACCAGGACAGGCCAUCUCAACAUACUUUGGUAGAUUUGUAGUAUCACCGAAAAAUGGGUCAGUUGGCCUUCUCCCAGUAAGCAUCUCCAACAAUAGCACACCAUAGCUGUACACGUCGCCUUCCACAGAUAUUUCGGUCCCCAUGCCAUAUUCUGGUAAAGGAAGGAAAGGAAGGGUUUGUGUUAGCUUUCUUAUAAAGUACUACUAUAUAUAUGCUAUAAAUAUAAUUCAUUCCGCACA